Molecule: transfer RNA, 72 nt
Filed under: archaeon
Lineage: Archaea
Also listed under: 1 other name
Description: tRNA-Thr
Rfam family: tRNA
About the family: Transfer RNA (tRNA) molecules are approximately 80 nucleotides in length.
Source: RNAcentral
GCUUCUGUGGCUCAGUGGUAGAGCGCAACCUUGGUAAGGUUGAGGUCGCGGGUUCGACUCCCGCCAGAAGCU